This 450-nucleotide ribosomal RNA is filed under the name uncultured bacterium. RNAcentral's name for it is "partial 16S ribosomal RNA". It matches the Rfam family "Bacterial small subunit ribosomal RNA", at positions 354 to 796 of the family's 1533-position model. The record is from RNAcentral.
GUGGGGAAUUUUGGACAAUGGGCGCAAGCCUGAUCCAGCAAUGCCGCGUGCAGGAAGAAGGCCUUCGGGUUGUAAACUGCUUUUGUACGGAACGAAACGGUCCUGGCUAAUAUCCGGGGCUAAUGACGGUACCGUAAGAAUAAGCACCGGCUAACUACGUGCCAGCAGCCGCGGUAAUACGUAGGGUGCGAGCGUUAAUCGGAAUUACUGGGCGUAAAGCGUGCGCAGGCGGUGCUGUAAGACAGGCGUGAAAUCCCCGGGCUCAACCUGGGGAUUGCGCUUGUGACUGCAGUGCUGGAGUGCGGCAGAGGGGGAUGGAAUUCCGCGUGUAGCAGUGAAAUGCGUAGAUAUGCGGAGGAACACCGAUGGCGAAGGCAAUCCCCUGGGCCUGCACUGACGCUCAUGCACGAAAGCGUGGGGAGCAAACAGGAUUAGAUACCCGGGUAGUCC